GAUGAACGCUGGCGGCGUGCCUAAUACAUGCAAGUCGAGCGAACAGACGAGGAGCUUGCUCCUCUGACGUUAGCGGCGGACGGGAGAGUAACACGUGGAUAACCUACCUAUAAGACUGGGAUAACUUCGGGACACCGGAGCUAAUACCGGAUAAUAUAUUGAACCGCAUGGUUCAAUAGUGAAAGACGGUUUUGCUGUCACUUAUAGAUGGAUCCGCGCGGCAUUAGCUAGUUGGUAAGGUAACGGCUUUCCAAGGCGACGAUGCGUAGCCGACCUGAGAGGGUGAUCGGCCACACUGGAACUGGGACACGGUCCAGACUCCUACGGGAGGCAGCAGAAGGGAAUCUUCCGCAAUGGGCGAAAGCCUGACGGAGCAACGCGGCGUGAGUGAUGAAGGUCUUCGGAGCGUAAAACUCUGUUAUUAGGGAAGAACAAAUGUGUAAGUAACUAUGCACGUCUUGACGGUACCUAAUCAGAAAGCCACGGCUAACUACGUG
RNAcentral lists this ribosomal RNA (497 nucleotides) under uncultured bacterium. Its description in RNAcentral is "partial 16S ribosomal RNA". It matches the Rfam family "Bacterial small subunit ribosomal RNA", at positions 28 to 507 of the family's 1533-position model. The record is from RNAcentral.